UUGUUGGAGAGUUUGAUCCUGGCUCAGGACGAACGCUGGCGGCGUGCUUAACACAUGCAAGUCGAGCGGAAAGGCCCUUCGGGGUACUCGAGCGGCGAACGGGUGAGUAACACGUGAGUAACCUGCCCUGGACUUUGGGAUAACCCUCGGAAACGGGGGCUAAUACCGAAUACGACUUCCUGCCGCAUGGCAUGGACGUGGAAAGUUUUUCGGUCUGGGAUGGACUCGCGGCCUAUCAGCUUGUUGGUGGGGUAAUGGCCUACCAAGGCGACGACGGGUAGCCGGCCUGAGAGGGCGACC
Molecule: ribosomal RNA, 300 nt
Filed under: Actinoplanes campanulatus
Lineage: Bacteria; Bacillati; Actinomycetota; Actinomycetes; Micromonosporales; Micromonosporaceae
Description: Bacterial small subunit ribosomal RNA
Rfam family: Bacterial small subunit ribosomal RNA
Source: Rfam by way of RNAcentral